CAACCCUCGAACCCCUCCGGGGGGUCGGCGUUGGGGAUCGGCCCCUCACCGGGCCGCCCCCGAAAUACAGUGGCGGUCUCGCCGCAGCCUCUCCUGCGCAGUAGUUUGCACACUCGCACCGGGAGCGCGGCGCGGCCACAGCCGUAAAACACCCCAAACUCUGAAAUG
Molecule: ribosomal RNA, 168 nt
Filed under: Trichoderma reesei
Lineage: Eukaryota; Fungi; Ascomycota; Sordariomycetes; Hypocreales; Hypocreaceae
Also listed under: 2 other names
Description: internal transcribed spacer 2 (ITS2)
Source: RNAcentral